GACGAACGCUGGCGGCGUGCCUAAUACAUGCAAGUUGAGCGAUGAAGAUUGGUGCUUGCACCAAUUUGAAGAGCAGCGAACGGGUGAGUAACGCGUGGGGAAUCUGCCUUUGGUCGGGGGACAACAUUUGGAAACGAAUGCUAAUACCGCAUAACAACUUUAAACAUAAGUUGUAAGUUUGAAAGAUGCAAUUGCAUCACUCAAAGAUGAUCCCGCGUUGUAUUAGCUAGUUGGUGAGGUAAAGGCUCACCAAGGCGAUGAUACAUAGCCGACCUGAGAGGGUGAUCGGCCACAUUGGGACUGAGACACGGCCCAAACUCCUACGGGAGGCAGCAGUAGGGAAUCUUCGGCAAUGGACGCAAGUCUGACCGAGCAACGCCGCGUGAGUGAAGAAGGUUUUCGGAUCGUAAAACUCUGUUGGUAGGGAAGAACGUUGGUGGGAGUGGAAAGCUCAUCAAGUGACGGGAACUACCCAGAAAGGGACGGCUAACUACGU
This 496-nucleotide ribosomal RNA is filed under the name uncultured bacterium. Its description in RNAcentral is "partial 16S ribosomal RNA". It matches the Rfam family "Bacterial small subunit ribosomal RNA", at positions 28 to 506 of the family's 1533-position model. The record is from RNAcentral.